This is a long non-coding RNA of Brassica oleracea var. oleracea, 1878 nucleotides long. RefSeq lists it as uncharacterized. The transcript is spliced from 7 exons. NCBI's taxonomy places the organism in Eukaryota, Viridiplantae, Streptophyta, Magnoliopsida, Brassicales, Brassicaceae. The record is from RefSeq and is a predicted model, not a curated record.
CCCAAAGGUGUUUAGGGUUGGUCGUCGACUUCUUCUUCCAGAAGCAACCUCUCCGAUGUAUAACUCACGAAACCAAACCGUCGAUCCAAGCUCUGUAACGCCUCUCAAUCCAUAAAUCCUUUCUUUACUCUGAGUUUUCCUCAAUUAAUCCACUCCGCCCAUGUUAAUCAAACAAAAUACCUCUUCAUUUUCCACCGUAACUGGUUCGAGCUUCCCUAUAAAUGUCCCACUAAAACCUAUUUGUAUGUUUCCGGUUUGUCUUAAACUUAUCUGUCAAAUAUGGCUACUUCUCACAUCCAAAUCCAAUUUUCCGAGUUGAAGGACGGACGAUGCAAACAAAAGUUCAGAGCAGACACAUACAAUUUUGGGAAGCUGGGAAUUUUUAUAAAGGUGGGAGCUGAUGGGUGUCGAUAGCUAAUUGAUGCGAAGGCCACUCUCAUCCAAGGGUUAAUCCGACCUUCAAGUUUGCUGAUGCCCCAAUAUUUAUUAGAUUCUCGGAGCAGUCUGUUUUCUAUGAGGUAGCAGAAACGAAUGAGCCAAUCCAGAAGGAGAGUUUCAGGUUCCGAAAAUACGACGAGCUCAUGUCACUUGCCAACACCGACACCAAAACUUAUUUGCUAGGUUUGGAGUACUAAACAUCCUUUUCAAUUAGUCAAUGUAGGAAUUUAAAAGAUGACAGUGAAAUUACUUUAAUGGUUGUCUUCGUUAACAGAUAUCAUUUGUGAAGUACGAGGCAUCAAAACCAUUUACAACAAGGCUACACAUGGCACUCAACGCCUCAUGGCUACCAUUUAGCUUGAUAGGCAUUUCACAAAUCACCUUCUUCUUUGAGUGUUUAUGUUUAACAAAAAUGAGGCUUACUAUAUUCUCACACGAUGAUAUGCAUUUUAAUAACCAAUAUCAACCCAAAGUUAGUUGGUGUCGGCUGUUUCUCAACGCAACUUUGGACAUUCAUUUCUAUUUUGACAACGACUGUGUAGCUAGCAUCAACUACCUGAAAAAGGUAUGUGGCUUUGACGAGGGAUCAUCCUCAGCUCCAACAAAGUAUAAUGGUGUUAAAAAGAUUGAAUCAAUUCCACUGUCCGAACUUAAUUCCCACGUCCUCACUGCAUCACCAGAGGCAGUAGAGUUCAUUUGCACAGCUGUUGUCAAUGGUAUUAAGACUGGAAAUGGGUGAUGCUAUAUUUCAUGCUCGAAAUACUACCGAAAGCUCAAACUUGGAUUCUCAGCUUUCACAUGCCAUGCAUAUCAAGAUGACAAUGCAAUGGGUAUUGUAAGAUGCAUAUGACUGCUGAGUUUGUAGCUUUUGACAGUGAAAUGACCAGGCUUACAAAUGUCAAUGUCAUCCAUUCAAGUGUCAGGGCAGUAGGCGUAUCUCAGCUAAUGAACGAGGGCGACCAAGACAUCCAAGAAUUAGCACUUCCCCAAAGCCUUCCAUCUCAACCUCUCCCAAUUCAACUUCUCAUCAAAACAUCAGAGCUCCACAGCGUCCCGCAUCUUUGAUCGCAACCAGCGCCCUCCUCUACCUAAUUUUGACGCCAACGUGUGUAUGACUGUUAUAAUAGGUUUAGCUGCUCUGCAAAGUUGUUGCUUCUUGACUGAGUUUUCACUUUCACAUGGAGGGAAUAACAACCCAUGGAGGAAGAACCUAGCGCUAAGAAGAGCCGGACUGAGUUAAAUUUGUCCGACUGUCGCAGCUAUUUUGGCAAUGAGCCAUCCUUUGAUGAUUUCUGCAUUUCAAUGACUUCUACAAAUUCUAUUUUGAGUUUUUUUUUGCACAAACCCUAAUAGAAUUUAUUUCAUGUAUUUUUCCCUUUAAAUAAUUUCAUAAUCGUUGCAAUGCAAGCAGCCUGGUCAAAAGGCUACACUAAGGUAAUA